GCGCAGGUGGCAGAGUGGUCAAAUGCAACGGUCUGUAAAACCGUCGCCCUAAGUGGCUACGGGGGUUCGAAUCCCUCCCUGCGCA
Molecule: transfer RNA, 85 nt
Filed under: Pseudomonadota bacterium
Lineage: Bacteria; Pseudomonadati; Pseudomonadota
Also listed under: 4 other names
Description: tRNA-Tyr
Rfam family: tRNA
About the family: Transfer RNA (tRNA) molecules are approximately 80 nucleotides in length. Their secondary structure includes four short double-helical elements and three loops (D, anti-codon, and T loops).
Source: RNAcentral